RNAcentral lists this unclassified non-coding RNA (289 nucleotides) under uncultured Coprinopsis. RNAcentral describes it as "sequence contains ITS2". The stretch from base 1 to 52 matches the Rfam family "5.8S ribosomal RNA", at positions 103 to 154 of the family's 154-position model. The record is from RNAcentral. Lineage: Eukaryota; Fungi; Basidiomycota; Agaricomycetes; Agaricales; Psathyrellaceae.
AACGCACCUUGCGCUCCUUGGUAUUCCGAGGAGCAUGUCUGUUUGAGUGUCAUUAAAUUCUCAACCUUAUCAGUUUUCUGUAUAAGGCUUGGAUGUGGGGGUCUGCAGGUCCACUACCGUGGUCUGCUCCUCUAAAAUGUAUUAGCUGGGUUCAGUUACCUUGUCUAUUGGUGUGAUAAUUAUCUGCAUCAUUGGCAGUUUAGCUUUAUAGACCUGCUUCUAACCGUCCUUUGGACAAUACCUUGACAUUUUUGACCUCAAAUCAGAUAAGACUACCCGCUGAACUUAA